RNAcentral lists this ribosomal RNA (1332 nucleotides) under uncultured bacterium. Its description in RNAcentral is "16S ribosomal RNA". It matches the Rfam family "Bacterial small subunit ribosomal RNA", at positions 29 to 1382 of the family's 1533-position model. The record is from RNAcentral.
ACUAACGCUGGCGGCGCGCCUAACACAUGCAAGUCGAACGAGAGAUGAGGAGCUUGCUCUUCAAAUCGAGUGGCGAACGGGUGAGUAACGCGUGAGGAACCUGCCUCAAAGAGGGGGACAACAGUUGGAAACGACUGCUAAUACCGCAUAAGCCCACGGCUCGGCAUCGAGCAGAGGGAAAAGGAGCAAUCCGCUUUGAGAUGGCCUCGCGUCCGAUUAGCUAGUUGGUGAGGUAACGGCCCACCAAGGCGACGAUCGGUAGCCGGACUGAGAGGUUGAACGGCCACAUUGGGACUGAGACACGGCCCAGACUCCUACGGGAGGCAGCAGUGGGGAAUAUUGCACAAUGGGGGAAACCCUGAUGCAGCGACGCCGCGUGGAGGAAGAAGGUCUUCGGAUUGUAAACUCCUGUUGUUGAGGAAGAUAAUGACGGUACUCAACAAGGAAGUGACGGCUAACUACGUGCCAGCAGCCGCGGUAAAACGUAGGUCACAAGCGUUGUCCGGAAUUACUGGGUGUAAAGGGAGCGCAGGCGGGAGAACAAGUUGGAAGUGAAAUCCAUGGGCUCAACCCAUGAACUGCCUUCAAAACUGUUUUUCUUGAGUAGUGCAGAGGUAGGCAGAAUUCCCGGUGUAGCGGUGGAAUGCGUAGAUAUCGGGAGGAACACCAGUGGCGAAGGCGGCCUACUGGGCACCAACUGACGCUGAGGCUCGAAAGUGUGGGUAGCAAACAGGAUUAGAUACCCUGGUAGUCCACACCGUAAACGAUGAUUACUAGGUGUUGGAGGAUUGACCCCUUCAGUGCCGCAGUUAACACAAUAAGUAAUCCACCUGGGGAGUACGACCGCAAGGUUGAAACUCAAAGGAAUUGACGGGGGCCCGCACAAGCAGUGGAGUAUGUGGUUUAAUUCGACGCAACGCGAAGAACCUUACCAAGUCUUGACAUCCCUUGACGAUGCUGGAAACAGUAUUUCUCUUCGGAGCAAGGAGACAGGUGGUGCAUGGUUGUCGUCAGCUCGUGUCAUGAGAUGUUGGGUUAAGUCCCGCAACGAGCGCAACCCUUAUGGUCAGUUACUACGCAAGAGGACUCUGGCCAGACUGCCGUUGACAAAACGGAGGAAGGUGGGGAUGACGUCAAAUCAUCAUGCCCUUUAUGACUUGGGCUACACACGUACUACAAUGGCGUUAAACAAAGAGAAGCAAGACCGCGAGGUGGAGCAAAACUCAGAAACAACGUCCCAGUUCGGACUGCAGGCUGCAACUCGCCUGCACGAAGUCGGAAUUGCUAGUAAUCGUGGAUCAGCAUGCCACGGUGAAUACGUUCCCGGGCCUU